CAUGUGCAAGUGCCUUGUCUGUAUCUUGCUGAGCAUCACAGAAUGGGAUCAAAUAUGUCUCCUGCUCGAGGAUCUUUCCGGGACCAUAUUCGGAAUUGGAUGACUAAAACUGCCGCCUUAGAGGGGGCCUGUGAUCCUGUAACCUGUUUUAUGGCCAAUAGUCUGCGAGGUCUGAAUUGGCAGUACGAGCCAGAGUUCAAAGUCCUCUACUUCACCGUCCAGCCGAGAUGUGGAUCGCAAGAGUAUGUUUAUCGAUCGAUCAACAUGUGCAAGCGUUCUUCUCCCCAUAAGUUCUGGUUUUCCAUGGAGGCUCUUCGCGAAAGGCACCCGAAUGCAAAGAUAAUUCUGUCGGUGCACCAAGGAAAGGAGUAUUUUUCGUACCACACAGUGUACCCGUGGCGGAAGGACCUAUAUGGAGCCAUGGCCAACCUCUCUAUCCAGGAGACUUUGGAGGUUCCUCAGCUGCUAGACCGCUACAGCGCUCUCUUUAGCAAUGUCACCAAAAGUAAAAGUCGGAAGAAAAAGAGAUGAGAGAUGUUUUGUUUUGAGUUUAAUUUUCUCUUAAUUGUAAAUCAGUGAUGUUUAAAGAAAAAUAGUCUGUAUGCUGUCGAUGUAUAUGCAAUUGAUGUUGCAUUUUCGUUUAUUUUACAGAUAACGGUAAUCAGGAUUACCUUUCAAGAUUCCAUUAAUACUUCCAGACGCUGCUGUAACAUAUUUUUAUAUUAGCUACUUGUGUAGGAUUCGGUGUCAGGUAAUGGUCAUAUAUCUUCAAUAAAAGCUAUUUUACUAUGGUUA
This 795-nucleotide unclassified non-coding RNA is filed under the name Penaeus japonicus. RNAcentral's name for it is "uncharacterized LOC122245769, transcript variant X1". Lineage: Eukaryota; Metazoa; Arthropoda; Malacostraca; Decapoda; Penaeidae. The record is from RNAcentral.